UAUUAUUUAAGCGUGUUUCCAGACCCCACGAUGAGGACGUGGUUCUACCUUGGGGUCCAUAUAUUUUUUUUUUUUUUUUUUUUUAAUUAUUUUUAGUCAUUAUAUAGUAAUAUGUACAUUCCUAUCUAACAUAAUAUUUAUACAUUUUGUACAUGGUGUUCCCAUUUUGAUAAGCAAACAUGUGAAACAUCAAAUGAGAUUAACGAGUCACGUGUCCCCUGUUUUAUUGCUACAAUAACAUCCAAUUAACACCUUCAACUUUGUACACGCGUCAGACUAUACAAUUGCACGCGCCAGAAUAUACAAUCAUUGUAAAUAAUGAACACCUGUUGAAAACUCAAGAUUGUCAUUAAUUUCCUUUCAUCUUCAAUCAAUAUGCAUAAACAUGAUAAAUAUCGUUUAAUGAGGCAAUAAACAAAUAAAAAGAUGAAAACAUUCACAUUUCAAUUUUCUUUUCCUCAUGUUUGAUUUCAGUUCUUUGUAUUUCACAAUUUGUGUCAAUAUUUUCAGGACAACAAUGCACAAAUAAUUCAUUUUGCGAGCUUAAUAUAUAUUGC
Molecule: long non-coding RNA, 557 nt
Filed under: Mytilus galloprovincialis (Mediterranean mussel)
Lineage: Eukaryota; Metazoa; Mollusca; Bivalvia; Mytilida; Mytilidae
Source: RNAcentral